Molecule: ribosomal RNA, 1249 nt
Filed under: 'Cyrtostachys renda' lipstick yellow frond disease phytoplasma
Lineage: Bacteria; Bacillati; Mycoplasmatota; Mollicutes; Acholeplasmatales; Acholeplasmataceae
Description: bacterial SSU rRNA
Rfam family: Bacterial small subunit ribosomal RNA
Source: RNAcentral
GAAACGAGUGCUAAGACUGGAUAGGAGACAAGAGGGCAUCUUCUUGUUUUUAAAAGACCUAGCAAUAGGUAUGCUUAGGGAGGAGCUUGCGUCACAUUAGUUAGUUGGUGGGGUAAAGGCCUACCAAGACUAUGAUGUGUAGCCGGGCUGAGAGGUUGAACGGCCACAUUGGGACUGAGACACGGCCCAAACUCCUACGGGAGGCAGCAGUAGGGAAUUUUCGGCAAUGGAGGAAACUCUGACCGAGCAACGCCGCGUGAACGAUGAAGUAUUUCGGUACGUAAAGUUCUUUUAUUAGGGAAGAAUAAAUGAUGGAAAAAUCAUUCUGACGGUACCUAAUGAAUAAGCCCCGGCUAACUAUGUGCCAGCAGCCGCGGUAAUACAUAGGGGGCAAGCGUUAUCCGGAAUUAUUGGGCGUAAAGGGUGCGUAGGCGGUUAAAUAAGUUUAUGGUCUAAGUGCAAUGCUCAACAUUGUGAUGCUAUAAAAACUGUUUAGCUAGAGUAAGAUAGAGGCAAGUGGAAUUCCAUGUGUAGUGGUAAAAUGCGUAAAUAUAUGGAGGAACACCAGUAGCGAAGGCGGCUUGCUGGGUCUUUACUGACGCUGAGGCACGAAAGCGUGGGGAGCAAACAGGAUUAGAUACCCUGGUAGUCCACGCCGUAAACGAUGAGUACUAAACGUUGGGUAAAACCAGUGUUGAAGUUAACACAUUAAGUACUCCGCCUGAGUAGUACGUACGCAAGUAUGAAACUUAAAGGAAUUGACGGGACUCCGCACAAGCGGUGGAUCAUGUUGUUUAAUUCGAAGGUACCCGAAAAACCUCACCAGGUCUUGACAUGCUUCUGCAAAGCUGUAGAAACACAGUGGAGGUUAUCAGUUGCACAGGUGGUGCAUGGUUGUCGUCAGCUCGUGUCGUGAGAUGUUGGGUUAAGUCCCGCAACGAGCGCAACCCUUAUUGUUAGUUACCAGCACGUAAUGGUGGGGACUUUAGCAAGACUGCCAGUGAUAAAUUGGAGGAAGGUGGGGACGACGUCAAAUCAUCAUGCCCCUUAUGACCUGGGCUACAAACGUGAUACAAUGGCUGUUACAAAGGGUAGCUGAAGCGCAAGUUUUUGGCGAAUCUCAAAAAAACAGUCUCAGUUCGGAUUGAAGUCUGCAACUCGACUUCAUGAAGUUGGAAUCGCUAGUAAUCGCGAAUCAGCAUGUCGCGGUGAAUACGUUCUCGGGGUUUGUACACACGGCCCGUCAAAC